GUUCAGAUUAUGUUACGAACCACUGUAAUUAAAAGAAUCAUGAAUCAAAGGGAAAGAAAAACGAUACUAGUAAGCACCAGUUUUAACCAUUAUAUCAAGAAGAAGACUUGAAUGUUUUCUUUUUGAACAAAACCAAACCACACAGAGAAGAGGGUCUCGCAAAUAUCAACAGUACAAAGACAUAAUACAGGAACGUUGCUACAUCUGUGAAUUAGACCCAGAAGCCUCUAGAAUCAAAACAUAGAGGCUCAAUACUUCCUGGAAUCAAUGUGUAAGGAACUAGAUCUGGAAUUAGACAGCCUAGAUAACAGUUCCCUAAACGACUCAAACGUUAUGAAUUUCAGAAAAGUCCAGACCUUUUCCAAUUUUCAUCUGUAUAACAUACCCAAUUGUGGCACUAAAACCCUAAUUUCAUGCGUCUGAUAAAACUCUCUGCAUUGAAUCGAAGAUUACCUUCUUCUUUUUUCAGAGAGCGUC
Arabidopsis thaliana (thale cress) is the source of this 477-nucleotide long non-coding RNA. RefSeq annotates it as other RNA. The record is from RefSeq. The transcript has a single exon. NCBI's taxonomy places the organism in Eukaryota, Viridiplantae, Streptophyta, Magnoliopsida, Brassicales, Brassicaceae.